AUGUAGAUGCCUACAACAUAGUUUUAAUGCAUCAGAUCUCAUUAGAACUUUAUAGUUAAGCACGCUCAGCCUAGAGUAGUAUUGGGAUGGGUGACUGCUUGGGAAGUCCUAGUGUUUUACAUG
Non-coding RNA from Picea glauca (white spruce), 123 nucleotides. Lineage: Eukaryota; Viridiplantae; Streptophyta; Pinopsida; Pinales; Pinaceae. The record is from Rfam.